Molecule: ribosomal RNA, 463 nt
Filed under: uncultured bacterium
Lineage: Bacteria
Description: partial 16S ribosomal RNA
Rfam family: Bacterial small subunit ribosomal RNA
Source: RNAcentral
CCUACGGGAGGCAGCAGUGAGGAAUAUUGGUCAAUGGGCGGAAGCCUGAACCAGCCAAGUCGCGUGAGGGAAUAAGGCCCUACGGGUCGUAAACCUCUUUUGCCGGGGAGCAAGGGCGGGGACGUGUCACGGCCCGGAGAGUACCCGGAGAACAAGCAUCGGCUAACUCCGUGCCAGCAGCCGCGGUCAUACGGAGGAUGCGAGCGUUAUCCGGAGUGACUGGGUGUAAAGGGUUGCGUAGGGGGCAGAAUAAGUAGCUAGUGAAAUCCGGUGGCUCAACCAUUCAGACUAUUAGCUAAACUGUUAAGCUCGAGACCGGUAGGGGUAACUGGAAUUUCUAGUGUAGGAGUGAAAUGCGUAGAUAUUAGAAGGAACACCAGUGGCGUAGGCAGGUUACUGGGACGGUUCUGACACUAAGGCACGAAAGCGUAGGGAGCAAACGGGAUUAGAUACCCCUGUAGUC